AUGAACGUUGGCGGCGUGCCUAAUACAUGCAAGUCGAGCGAACAGACGAGGAGCUUGCUCCUCUGACGUUAGCGGCGGACGGGUGAGUAACACGUGGAUAACCUACCUAUAAGACUGGGAUAACUUCGGGAAACCGGAGCUAAUACCGGAUAAUAUAUUGAACCGCAUGGUUCAAUAGUGAAAGACGGUUUUGCUGUCACUUAUAGAUGGAUCCGCGCCGCAUUAGCUAGUUGGUAAGGUAACGGCUUACCAAGGCGACGAUGCGUAGCCGACCUGAGAGGGUGAUCGGCCACACUGGAACUGAGACACGGUCCAGACUCCUACGGGAGGCAGCAGUAGGGAAUCUUCCGCAAUGGGCGAAAGCCUGACGGAGCAACGCCGCGUGAGUGAUGAAGGUCUUCGGAUCGUAAAACUCUGUUAUUAGGGAAGAACAAAUGUGUAAGUAACUAUGCACGUCUUGACGGUACCUAAUCAGAAAGCCACGGCUAACUACGUG
This 496-nucleotide ribosomal RNA is filed under the name uncultured bacterium. RNAcentral describes it as "partial 16S ribosomal RNA". It matches the Rfam family "Bacterial small subunit ribosomal RNA", at positions 29 to 507 of the family's 1533-position model. The record is from RNAcentral.